Molecule: ribosomal RNA, 448 nt
Filed under: uncultured bacterium
Lineage: Bacteria
Description: bacterial SSU rRNA
Rfam family: Bacterial small subunit ribosomal RNA
Source: RNAcentral
UCCAGACUCCUACGGGAGGCAGCAGUGGGGAAUAUUGGACAAUGGGGGGAACCCUGAUCCAGCGACGCCGCGUGAGUGAAGAAGUAUUUCGGUAUGUAAAGCUCUAUCAGCAGGGAAGAAAGAAAUGACGGUACCUGACUAAGAAGCCCCGGCUAACUACGUGCCAGCAGCCGCGGUAAUACGUAGGGGGCAAGCGUUAUCCGGAUUUACUGGGUGUAAAGGGAGCGUAGACGGCAGAGCAAGUCUGAAGUGAAAGCCCGCGGCCCAACUGCGGGACUGCUUUGGAAACUGCCCGGCUAGAGUGCUGGAGAGGUAAGCGGAAUUCCUAGUGUAGCGGUGAAAUGCGUAGAUAUUAGGAGGAACACCAGUGGCGAAGGCGGCUUACUGGACAGUAACUGACGUUGAGGCUCGAAAGCGUGGGGAGCGAACAGGAUUAGAUACCCCAGUA